ACAUGCGGAUCACCCAUGU
RNAcentral lists this unclassified non-coding RNA (19 nucleotides) under Escherichia phage MS2. RNAcentral describes it as "5'-R(*AP*CP*AP*UP*GP*CP*GP*GP*AP*UP *CP*AP*CP*CP*CP*AP*UP*GP*U)-3' from Escherichia phage MS2 (PDB 2IZM, chain S)". The record is from RNAcentral. Lineage: Riboviria; Orthornavirae; Lenarviricota; Leviviricetes; Norzivirales; Fiersviridae.